Molecule: non-coding RNA, 175 nt
Organism: Thiocapsa sp. KS1
Lineage: Bacteria; Pseudomonadati; Pseudomonadota; Gammaproteobacteria; Chromatiales; Chromatiaceae
Source: Rfam
CGAAUAGGUGGCUAGGGUUCCGAUCCGCUGACGGCGGGUGUCUGGUCCGAGAGCUGCCGACCUGAUCCGCCGAUCCGUCCGAACACCUUUCCGAGCCGGCUCGAUCCGGUCUUCGAUAAGGUCCAGGGCGCAUCGGCCGGGGCAGGUUACACGGCGGGAUAAAAGCCCGGGAGAU